RNAcentral lists this ribosomal RNA (496 nucleotides) under uncultured bacterium. RNAcentral describes it as "partial 16S ribosomal RNA". It matches the Rfam family "Bacterial small subunit ribosomal RNA", at positions 28 to 506 of the family's 1533-position model. The record is from RNAcentral.
GAUGAACGCUGGCGGCGUGCCUAAUACAUGCAAGUAGAACGCUGAAGGAAGGAGCUUGCUCUUUCCGGAUGAGUUGCGAACGGGUGAGUAACGCGUAGGUAACCUGCCUGGUAGCGGGGGAUAACUAUUGGAAACGAUAGCUAAUACCGCAUAACAGUAGAUGUUGCAUGAUAUCUACUUAAAAGGUGCAAUUGCACCACUACCAGAUGGACCUGCGUUGUAUUAGCUAGUUGGUGAGGUAACGGCUCACCAAGGCGACGAUACAUAGCCGACCUGAGAGGGUGAUCGGCCACACUGGGACUGAGACACGGCCCAGACUCCUACGGGAGGCAGCAGUAGGGAAUCUUCGGCAAUGGACGGAAGUCUGACCGAGCAACGCCGCGUGAGUGAAGAAGGUUUUCGGAUCGUAAAGCUCUGUUGUAAGAGAAGAACGAGUGUGAGAGUGGAAAGUUCACACUGUGACGGUAUCUUACCAGAAAAGGACGGCUAACUACGU